RNAcentral lists this ribosomal RNA (253 nucleotides) under uncultured bacterium. RNAcentral's name for it is "partial 16S ribosomal RNA". It matches the Rfam family "Bacterial small subunit ribosomal RNA", at positions 524 to 776 of the family's 1533-position model. The record is from RNAcentral.
UACGUAGGGGGCGAGCGUUGUCCGGAUUUAUUGGGCGUAAAGAGCGUGUAGGCGGCUUGGUAGGUCUGCUGUGAAAACUCGGGGCUUAACCCCGAGCCUGCAGUGGAUACGGGCAGACUAGAGGUAGGUAGGGGAGAAUGGAAUUCCCGGUGUAGCGGUGAAAUGCGCAGAUAUCGGGAGGAACACCGGUGGCGAAGGCGGUUCUCUGGGCCUUACCUGACGCUGAGGAGCGAAAGCGUGGGGAGCGAACAGG